GGAUCAUUACAAGAAGCCGAAAGGCUACUUCAAACCAUCGCGAACUCGUCCAAGUUGCUUCGGCGGCGCGGCACCCCUUAACGGGGGCGCCGCAGCCCUGCCUCUCCGGAGGUUCGGGGCGCCCGCCGGAGGUACGAAACUCUGUAUUAUAGUGGCAUCUCUGAGUAUAAAACAAAUAAGUUAAAACUUUCAACAACGGAUCUCUUGGUUCUGGCAUCGAUGAAGAACGCAGCGAAAUGCGAUAAGUAAUGUGAAUUGCAGAAUUCAGUGAAUCAUCGAAUCUUUGAACGCACAUUGCGCCCGGUAGUACUCUACCGGGCAUGCCUGUUCGAGCGUCAUUUCAACCCUCAAGCCCUGCUUGGUGUUGGGGCCCUACGGCUGCCGUAGGCCCUGAAAGGAAGUGGCGGGCUCGCUACAACUCCGAGCGUAGUAAUUCAUUAUCUCGCUAGGGAGGUUGCGGCGUGCUCCUGCCGUUAAAGACCCAUCUUUAACCAAGGUUGACCUCGGAUCAGGUAGGAAUACCCGCUGAACUUAAGCAUAUCAAUAAGCGGAGGAAAAGAAACCAACAGGGAUUGCCCUAGUAACGGCGAGUGAAGCGGCAACAGCUCAAAUUUGAAAUCUGGCUUCGGCCCGAGUUGUAAUUUGUAGAGGAUGCUUUUGGUGAGGUGCCUUCUGAGUUCCCUGGAACGGGACGCCAGAGAGGGUGAGAGCCCCGUAUAGUCGGCCACCGAUCCUUUGUAAAGCUCCUUCGACGAGUCGAGUAGUUUGGGAAUGCUGCUCAAAAUGGGAGGUAUAUCUCUUCUAAAGCUAAAUAUAGGCCAGAGACCGAUAGCGCACAAGUAGAGUGAUCGAAAGAUGAAAAGCACUUUGAAAAGAGGGUUAAAUAGCACGUGAAAUUGUUGAAAGGGAAGCGCUUGUGACCAGACUUGUGCCGGGCUGAUCAUCCAGUGUUCUCACUGGUGCACUCGACCCGGCUCAGGCCAGCGUCGGUUUUCGCGGGGGGAUAAAAGCUUCGGGAACGUGGCACCUUCGGGUGUGUUAUAGCCCGUUGCUUAAUACCUCCGUGGGGACCGA
This 1074-nucleotide ribosomal RNA is filed under the name Sordariomycetes sp. genotype 88. RNAcentral describes it as "eukaryotic LSU rRNA". The stretch from base 499 to 1074 matches the Rfam family "Eukaryotic large subunit ribosomal RNA", at positions 1 to 589 of the family's 3401-position model. The record is from RNAcentral. Lineage: Eukaryota; Fungi; Ascomycota; Sordariomycetes.